GGACUCAUGGUCUAGGGGUUAUGACGGCGCCCUUACAAGGCGCAGAUCGCCGGUCCGAUUCCGGCUGGGUCCA
This 73-nucleotide transfer RNA is filed under the name Candidatus Methanoplasma sp. Its description in RNAcentral is "tRNA-Val". It matches the Rfam family "tRNA". Rfam says of the family: Transfer RNA (tRNA) molecules are approximately 80 nucleotides in length. Their secondary structure includes four short double-helical elements and three loops (D, anti-codon, and T loops). The record is from RNAcentral. Lineage: Archaea; Methanobacteriati; Thermoplasmatota; Thermoplasmata; Methanomassiliicoccales; Methanomassiliicoccaceae.